This is a long non-coding RNA of Siniperca chuatsi (mandarin fish), 1630 nucleotides long. RefSeq lists it as uncharacterized. The transcript is spliced from 2 exons. The record is from RefSeq and is a predicted model, not a curated record. Lineage: Eukaryota; Metazoa; Chordata; Actinopteri; Centrarchiformes; Sinipercidae.
GUAGGAUAAGUAAAACAAAUCACUCCUGUUGGGACUGACAGAUAACACACGUAUUGAAUUCAGUCAUUUAUUACAGUAAGUACACCUUGCGAAAACUAAUGUAGUAACAGUCCUGCAAUAAAUCAUAUAACUCACCAUUUAUAUCAACGAGGGCAGGCUAAAAAACAGAAACACCUCUGUGUAUAUUGCAAUGCAAUUCAACAGCAACACAAACUACAUCCUCCAAAAGAUCAUAAAGUUGAAUAAACUGGCAACUGAGUGUAUAUACUGUAUAUACUUUACUCUAUAAUAAAUUCAGUUAAUCAUAUCUUCAAGUGAGACCAGAUUUUAUUAUGUUAUUCUACAUUGCAUUAUUUUCUCUUUACCUUGGAAACAGGUAGAUAACUAUUAACCCUCUACUGCACACAUUAUGGUUUUCUAUAAAAAAAGAUUGAGGCUCUCUGAUAAUGUAUCAAUGAUCAAAAUUUUCAUUUGUUGUUAUAUAGUUAUAAUAUAAGCACAGUUUUAGUCAUUGCGUUGUAACAGAUUGUGCAGAAAGUACAUUUUUAGCCCAUAGAAUGUCCUUGUGUUCAUUGCCUGUGAAUUUCAGUGGAUAUGUUCAUAAAAAAACAUUGACCAGGACCUUCAUUUUACAUCACAUACAAGUCCUUCAUUGAGCACAAUACUACUUGGAAAAGUAGCCUAACUGCACAACGUUGCCCUGAGGCAACGAAGAGAAAACCACUUUAUUAUAUAUACUGUAUAUACAGUAUACAUUUUUUUAAAUCUCAAAAAUCUAUCAAAUAUUUCUUCUAUUUUGCUUCUUUAGAUGUUCAUAUACAUGUACAUAUGUUUCUUGUCAAUACAUCUCUAUUUAAACAUGCAAAAGAGUGAAAUUCUUUCUGUUGCCUUAGGGCAGCGAUAUGCAGUACAGGGUUAACUAAACUAACCAAUAACAGAAAAUAAAAAAAAUGACAAUUCUACUAAUAACUUAUUAUUUCUAAAGGUGACCAUUUAGAUAAAUAUGGUGAUAUUUCGUGAUGUUAUAGUCGGUGUGGCUGCUAGACUAUAUGUCAUUGCGCCGGGUAAAUGCGCUGAAUCGCUAAUUGACGUCUGUGCCUGGAUAUAGAAGGCAAAAGUAGUUCCCUGACCGGGAAUCGAACCCGGGCCGCGGCGGUGAGAGCGCCGAAUCCUAACCACUAGACCACCAGGGAAAGUUAAGGCGUGCAUAAGUUGAAUUGAUUUUAUAGCUGUGUCUCAUUAUAACUCUAUAACUCAUUUGAAGGCCGAAUGCAUCACGGCGGGCGCGACUGGCUGUCGCAUUUCAAUACUGCUUCAAAUGCGGAUUUAUUUUCUUGAAUUUGGAGGAUGCAACGGUGGAUCCUUAGUGGCCCAACCUAUCCCAAGAUGCAUUUGGCGUCGGUGAUGAAUAUGGCGUCCUCAAACGUAAUGUUGACAGAUUCCUUGGCCGCUUUACACACUUUACACUUUUAAAAUGACGAUUCUGGAGAAAAUGGGCCUGCUGGGGAAAGUGACUCCUUUGCAAGCCAGAAAAAAGGGACAAUAAAAACAUGCAAAGUAUGUCCAUGAGAUUUUGAAAUUAUAUUUGUUUUAAUCAUGCAAGUUAAUAAACACACUUACACUGCUGAAA